CUGGCGGCCGCGGCCCGCAGCAACGGCCCGGCCCCGCGGGCAGGAGGGAGGCUGCGAGGAGGUACCGGGCGCUCUCGUGCUCAGCCGGGCGGCCGCGUGGCGAGGAGCGGUGCUGAAGGGCGCCCCGGACUGGCCGCGGCAGGUGCAGGCGUCGCGUGCAACGCAGCUGUGGGGAGGCUCGUGCCGGCGGCUGCGGGUGCUGCAAGUAACUCCGUUACUCUCUUUGAUUGCUCCAGUGCAAAAUGAACCUUUCCAACAAGGCCACGAAUAUAUAGCUCCUCGGUCCGUGAUCUCCACCGUACCACUUGUAUCUUUCCCCCCGCUUGCCUUGCCGGCGGUGUGAACUCUCCAGUCUUAGAACUUCAUUUCAGCCAACUCUGCUCAGGAAGUUCCCACAGAUCUCAGCUCCCGACUGGGGAAGGACAUAGAGAACAGAGUUCUGGGAAGGGCAGCUCCUAACACGUGCCGUCGUUCAGGGUUGGAUCAGGAUGCCUUGGCCAGCUCCAGCCUCCUUUGCAGCAGAGGUAUAGGUCCUGCAACAGAUUCACAUGGCUCUGAUGGGGACUCCAGAACGAUCUAUACAACUGUAUGGGAACUGCUGAAUCACAGCCUGAAGCUCUGAUUGAUCAGCUGAGACAAGCACUGAGUGAAGGCAACCCACCUGUGUGACUGGAAGGGCUGGAGCCUGGCUCCACCUCUCCUGGACCCCAUUUAAGGGCUGACUGCCACUGGGGAAGGAUCUUUUUCUGGAUAUUGCUCUUCUUGGAGUUUUUCCUGCAAGCCUACAACAGCAGUGACAGCAUCCUGUUGAUAUUACUACUGCUUACUAUUUGUAUUAUAGCCGUGCUCAGACGUCGCAGAAGAGAUCUGGUGUAAGGAUCAAUGGAUACAAAUAUUUGAUCUGGAAUGGGGUUAUAACAGUCUGUUCAUCAGCAUGGGUGUAAAAGGAGGAGACAGAAAGAACCACAUCCCGACUACGCGUUAGAUGAGAAUGCUGCUGUAACAAACCUGCCAGGCUGUCCUCUGACACCCAAUUUUCAGCAAGGGGAAGCUCCUCGUGAGAAAUUUUCCUGCACGGAUUCCCAGUGUCCUUGGGAGCACUACAGGGGGUGACAAUGCUCCGUGCCUGGCCACAGCCGAAGUAGGGAUUGGGAGCUGCGCGGACCGGUGCUGGGGUGGGCGAAACAAACCGCCCACAAAACCCCGACCCUGCAGGGCCCUGCGUGGGCCGUCGCUGAGGUAAAAGCGCCUCAGC
Molecule: long non-coding RNA, 1255 nt
Filed under: Gallus gallus (chicken)
Lineage: Eukaryota; Metazoa; Chordata; Aves; Galliformes; Phasianidae
Description: lncRNA (ENSGALG00010026709.1)
Source: RNAcentral